ACGGGUGAGUAAUGUCUGGGAAACUGCCUGAUGGAGGGGGAUAACUACUGGAAACGGUAGCUAAUACCGCAUGACGUCUUCGGACCAAAGUGGGGGACCUUCGGGCCUCACGCCAUCAGAUGUGCCCAGAUGGGAUUAGCUAGUAGGUGGGGUAAUGGCUCACCUAGGCGACGAUCUCUAGCUGGUCUGAGAGGAUGACCAGCCACACUGGAACUGAGACACGGUCCAGACUCCUACGGGAGGCAGCAGUGGGGAAUAUUGCACAAUGGGCGCAAGCCUGAUGCAGCCAUGCCGCGUGUAUGAAGAAGGCCUUCGGGUUGUAAAGUACUUUCAGCGAGGAGGAAGGCAUUGUGGUUAAUAACCGCAGUGAUUGACGUUACUCGCAGAAGAAGCACCGGCUAACUCCGUGCCAGCAGCCGCGGUAAUACGGAGGGUGCAAGCGUUAAUCGGAAUUACUGGGCGUAAAGCGCACGCAGGCGGUUUGUUAAGUCAGAUGUGAAAUCCCCGAGCUUAACUUGGGAACUGCAUUUGAAACUGGCAAGCUAGAGUCUUGUAGAGGGGGGUAGAAUUCCAGGUGUA
This 579-nucleotide ribosomal RNA is filed under the name uncultured bacterium. RNAcentral describes it as "bacterial SSU rRNA". It matches the Rfam family "Bacterial small subunit ribosomal RNA", at positions 102 to 677 of the family's 1533-position model. The record is from RNAcentral.